This 408-nucleotide ribosomal RNA is filed under the name uncultured bacterium. RNAcentral's name for it is "partial 16S ribosomal RNA". It matches the Rfam family "Bacterial small subunit ribosomal RNA", at positions 28 to 526 of the family's 1533-position model. The record is from RNAcentral.
GACGAACGCUGGCGGCGUGCUUAAAACAGGCAAGUAGAACGAAGUGGCGAACGGGUGAGUAAUACGUGGGUAAAUGGCACUCCUUUUUGGGAUAAGCAUUGGAAACGGGGUCUAAUACCGAAUAAAGGGGGAUGGGCUCGCGGCCUAUCAGCUUGUUGGUGGGGUGAUGGCCUACCAAGGCGGUGACGGGUAGGCGGCCUGAGAGGGUGACCGUGCAGAUGAGGACUAAGGUACGGCCCAGACUCCUACGGGAGGCAGCAGUGGGGGAUAUUGCACACUAGGCUAAAGCCUGAUGCAGCGACGCCUCGUGGGGGAUGAAGGCUUUCGGUUUGUAAACCUCUUUCGCUAUCGGACGUUUAGGUGGAGAAGAAGCGCCGGCUAACUACGUGCCCGCAGCCGCGGUAAUAC